CAGACCCCCGGCGUAGGUCGCGCAAUUUGGGUAAGGUCAUCGAUACCCUUACGUGCGGCUUCGCCGACCUCAUGGGGUAC
Molecule: regulatory RNA element, 80 nt
Rfam family: SL669 non-coding RNA
Source: Rfam